This 305-nucleotide ribosomal RNA is filed under the name uncultured bacterium. Its description in RNAcentral is "bacterial SSU rRNA". It matches the Rfam family "Bacterial small subunit ribosomal RNA", at positions 334 to 631 of the family's 1533-position model. The record is from RNAcentral.
UUUACCUACGGGGGGCAGCAGUAGGGAAUCUUCCACAAUGGGCGAAAGCCUGAUGGAGCAACGCCGCGUGGGUGGAGAAGGUCUUCGGAUCGUAAAACCCUGUUGUUAGAGAAGAAAGUGCGUGAGAGUAACUGUUCACGUUUCGACGGUAUCUAACCAGAAAGCCACGGCUAACUACGUGCCAGCAGCCGCGGUAAUACGUAGGUGGCAAGCGUUAUCCGGAUUUAUUGGGCGUAAAGGGGGCGCAGACGGCGAUGCAAGCCAGGAGUGAAAGCCAGGGGCCUAACCCCGGGCCUGCUCUUGGA